CCUACGGGAGGCAGCAGUGGGGAAUAUUGCACAAUGGGGGCAACCCUGAUGCAGCGACGCCGCGUGUGUGAAGAAGUAAUUCGUUACGUAAAGCUCUAUCAGCAGGGAAGAAAAUGACGUUGCCUGAGUAAGAAGCCCCUGCUAACUACGUGCCAGCAGCCGCGGUAAUACGAAGGGGGCAAGCGUUAUCCGGAUUUACUGGGUGUAAAGGGAGCGUAGACGGUGCGCCAAGUCUGGAGUGAAAUGCCGCGGCUUAACUGCGGAACUGCUUUGGAGACUGGCGAACUAGAGUGCGGGAGGGGUAAGCGGAAUUCCUAGUGUAGCGGUGAAAUGCGUAGAUAUUAGGAGGAACACCGGUGGCGAAGGCGGCUUACUGGACCGUAACUGACGUUGAGGCUCGAAAGCGUGGGGAGCAAACAGGAUUAGAUACCCCAGUAGUC
Molecule: ribosomal RNA, 440 nt
Filed under: uncultured bacterium
Lineage: Bacteria
Description: partial 16S ribosomal RNA
Rfam family: Bacterial small subunit ribosomal RNA
Source: RNAcentral